Nicotiana tabacum (common tobacco) is the source of this 611-nucleotide long non-coding RNA. RefSeq lists it as uncharacterized. The record is from RefSeq and is a predicted model, not a curated record. Lineage: Eukaryota; Viridiplantae; Streptophyta; Magnoliopsida; Solanales; Solanaceae.
AGUAAAUCACUUUUCGUUUUCCGCCAAAACAGACGCGCCUAAAACAUAUUUCCCUAUUUUAUUACUUUUCCCCAAAUUUUUAGCGCUCAAUUUUAGUUUCUAUUGCUUUCUCUUUUCAUUAUCUAAACUAAGUUCUUGCAUCUUUGAUUUUUUGAUCUCUUCCGCUGUAUUCAACCCAAAAUCUGAGCAAGGUGGAAAGUUCUUGGAGGGAAGAAUGCAAACUAAUAGAAGUGAAAAAUCAACUUACGGAGGAGCGAAAAAAACGAGAAAUCAUGGAAGCUCGUAGGGUGAUCAAAAAAUAUUAAAACAGGGCAUGAUGGCACUAGUAUCCCAUAUACAAAGUUUCGAGGAUGAGCAUGCGUAAUUGAACCAUCUUCACAUCCGGUUCAUGAAGUGCACAAGCUGUUGGAAGAAGAUUUAGUUUUUUGGUUACUAUUAGAAUAGAACUUAAGGACAUUGGAAGAUUUAUUUUUUGGGUUACUAUCAGAAUAGAACUUAAGGACCUUUGAUAUAUGAUGUUUUUACUCGUUUUGUAAGUAAAAAUACACUUUUAGGAUUAUUUAGUUUUUGAAAGUUAGUAUGACGACCCGACCCGUCGUCUCAUGUGUUUC